AUUGAACGCUGGCGGCAUGCUUUACACAUGCAAGUCGAACGGCAGCGCGGGCUUCGGCCUGGCGGCGAGUGGCGAACGGGUGAGUAAUACAUCGGAACGUGCCCAGUAGUGGGGGAUAGCUCGGCGAAAGCCGGAUUAAUACCGCAUACGACCUGAGGGUGAAAGCGGGGGAUCUUCGGACCUCGCGCUAUUGGAGCGGCCGAUGGCAGAUUAGCUAGUUGGUGGGGUAAAGGCCUACCAAGGCGACGAUCUGUAGCUGGUCUGAGAGGACGACCAGCCACACUGGGACUGAGACACGGCCCAGACUCCUACGGGAGGCAGCAGUGGGGAAUUUUGGACAAUGGGCGAAAGCCUGAUCCAGCAAUGCCGCGUGUGUGAUGAAGGCCUUCGGGUUGUAAAGCACUUUUGGCGGGAACGAAAAGGACUGUGCCAAUACCACGGUUCGAUGACGGUACCCGCAGAGUAAGCACCGGUUAACUACGUG
Molecule: ribosomal RNA, 484 nt
Filed under: uncultured bacterium
Lineage: Bacteria
Description: partial 16S ribosomal RNA
Rfam family: Bacterial small subunit ribosomal RNA
Source: RNAcentral